UACAGCCAUAUAGCGUUGAAACACCAGUUUCCGUUCAAUGACCGAUGUUAAGCAACGUUGAGCCUAGUCAGUACCUAGAUGGGUGACUGUUUGGGAGUAACAGGUG
Molecule: non-coding RNA, 106 nt
Organism: Acanthosepion pharaonis
Lineage: Eukaryota; Metazoa; Mollusca; Cephalopoda; Sepiida; Sepiidae
Source: the annotation of a GenBank genome assembly